Molecule: ribosomal RNA, 3514 nt
Organism: Bipolaris zeicola 26-R-13
Lineage: Eukaryota; Fungi; Ascomycota; Dothideomycetes; Pleosporales; Pleosporaceae
Rfam family: Bacterial large subunit ribosomal RNA
Source: Rfam
GGCUAGUAUAUAAAGAGACUAUUAUAGAAUAUAAAAGGCUGUAUAUUAAACCAUUAGUACCGUAAAAAUGAUGGAGUAAUUUCCAUUUAUUAGGGAAAAUGGUAGAAGAAUUUCUAUAAAAAAAACGAAGUGAAUUGAAGUAUCUUAUUAGCUUCAGGAAAAUAAAUCAAACGAGAUUCUAUUAGUAGUGUGAAUGAAAAUAGAUAUAGGCUUAAAGUAAAAUGGAUUAAUCUGUUUGAAUAUAGGGGAACCUUCCUCUAAGCCUUAAUAUAAUAUACAAGAAAUAGCGAAUAGUACUGUGAAGGAAGUAUGUAAAAUAGUAGUCUUAUAAGCAGCUCAAGGUAAGUUUAAUAAACAUAUGAGAGCGUACCUUUUGUAUAAUGGGUCAGCAAGUUCUAGUUAGAUGCAAGCAAGUAGUGAUUAGUGGGGAUAUAUUAAAUUAGAAUAGAUAUCAACAAGAUAGACAAUCUAAUAAUAUAAAUACACAAAAAAAAAUCAAUUUGCCUAGAUAAUCCAAUUAUUAAGUAAUGAAUUAGUAUCUAAUUAGAGACCCGAAGAGUAGUGAUCUUACCAUGGUCAGGCUUAUAAAAGGCCGAAUGGGUUAUCGUUGUAAAGAUAUCCAAAGAACUGUGGUAAGUUAGUGAAAGACAAUCCUGACUACUAUAGCUGGUUUUCCGCGAAACAUAUGUAAGUAUGUAGUUUAAAUAACAUCAUAGCAGGUACAGAACUGUGAUCUCGGACAAUUUGUGCAUUAAUAUCCUAUUAGGGUAUAUAAUGCCUUGUGCAUAUGGGGGGGUCGUGAAGACUCUAUUCGCGAGUAUUUGCUCUCGGAAGGGCAAUGAUGAGUGUUGAACUAUCAGACAUUUAACGAUAAGGUUGUAUGUCAAAAGGGAAACAGCCCAGAACAAGUGUUUAAGGUUCCAAAGUUUUUGUUAAGUGAAAGUAAGGAAGUAUUUAAACUAUACAACCAGGAAAUAGGCUUAGAAGCGGCCAUUUUUUAAAGACCUCGUAACAGAGCACUGGUUCAAACGGUUAAUUAGUUAACCUUAUAAGUUAAAAGCGCCGAAGAUAUAACGGAUCUAAAACAAAACACCGACACCUUGUCCAUAAUAAUAAUAUUAGGUUAAAUCCGGCUCCGCAGGUUUAACCUGCGGAGCCGGUUAAAUCCUAUUUUAAUAUACUUAAAGGUUAUUUAAGUAUUAUUUAUGGGGUAGCGGAACAUUGGGUAAAUAGGAUUAAAAAUAGGUAAUAAACCCCUUAGAAUCUUUUUUAAUGUAUAAAAACUGGAUGAAUAGAGGGGAAGGAUACACCUAUUUUCAUUAUUACAUCUGUAAUUUGCUCGCUAAAUUGCGGGUUUCCAUAAAUAUCCCAAGUGAGAAUGCUGACACGAGUAACGAAAAAGAGGAUGCCCCUAAAAGGCCCUCUCGCCUUAAGCUUAUGGGAAAGUUAAUCGGUCUCUAAAUUAAACCUAAAGGAUAAAAUGAUGAGGAGAUUAUAUGUGACAACAUAAAGAAAUGGAGUAAAAUGUUCUGGAAAAGCAUAUAGUCUAAGGAUGUAGAUAAAAAUACUAUCCUUUGGGAUGGCCCCUAGAAAGGCCAGACCUAAAGGUUAGUCCCCUUCGGGGACUAGUAAAUAAACUAGAGAGAUAUUACUAGGCAUCCUUAAACAUAUAAAACCGUACCUAAAAACUACCACAAGUAAGCUAGUAGAGAAUACGAAGGCGUUUGAGCUAACAAUCAUUAAGGAACUCGGCAAAUUGACACCGUAACUGAGGGAGAAGGUGUGCCAUUCCUACUGAUUAAUAUCAGUUUAGGAAGAGGAGACAUAAAAUGGUGUUGCACGACUGUUUAAUUAAAACACAGCACUUUGCGUAAGAUGUAAAUCAAUGUAUAGAGUGCGCUAUCUGCCCAAUGAUGGCUGGUUAACGGAUUUACUUAGACGACUAAAAUAGGCUAGGUUUUGAAGGAACCCCCAUUUAAUGGCGGCCUUACCUAUGAGGGUCCUAAGGUAGCGAAAUACCUUGGCAUUUAAAUGAUGUCGCGCAUGAAUGAUCUCACGAUGCAACAGCUGUCUCAAUGAUUGGCUCAGUGAAACUGGAAUGGCAGUGAAGAUACUGCCUAUCUCUAGAUAGACGAGAAGACCCCAUGCAGCUUUACUGUUACUAGUUAUAGGGUAUAAUUUAACAGGUUUUAGUGAAUAAGGUAGUUGAACGACAAAAUUGAAACACCUUUACUCUGGUUGUUAUAUCAGUAGAAUAGGUUACAUUAUUGUAACUGACGUCUGAAUGUAAUCCAUAAAAGGAGGGAGAUUAUAUCAAGCUCAGGAGACAAUGGCUAGCAGAUGGUUUAUGCGGGGCACAGAUCCCAUAAAGAGUACCUGGGAGUAUCCAAAUUUAUUUUUGUAAUAUGCUAUACGCAAAUUAUAUAGGGCUUUUAUUAAAUAAUUGCCUUGUAUAUUUUAAUUUUUUAAUUACUAUAUUUAGUUUGUUAUUUUUUAUAUUUACUUUUAUAAAGUAUCUAUAACUAAUUCAGUUAUAUUUCUAUUUAAGUUAGAACUAAAACAAUUUAAUAUAAGUAAGAUUUUACCUAUGUGGAAAAUAGGUGUAUAUAUAGUAUUAAUAAUGAAUAUCUAAUUGUAAAAAAGAUAUAAUUAUAACACUAUUAGUUAUUUUUUUUAGAAUACCUCUAUAAGAAAUGAUGUUGAUAUAUACUUCCAAAGUUUAAUGGCUUAAUCUUGCUUUACUGUUUGACAUACACGUCUAUCAGUUGCGUAAGCAGGGCAUAAAGACCGCAAGACGCAGUAAGGAAAGGUCUUGUAUUAUUGAAAAAGCUACGCUGGGGAUAACAGGCUAAUUGCGCCAGAGAGUACAAAUUGAGUGCGCAGUUUGGCACCUCGAUGUCGGCUUAGCUCAUCCACAUGAAUGCAGGAAUCAUGAAGGGUACGACUGUUCGUCGAUUAAAGAGCUACACGAGCUGGGUUAAAUACGUCGUGAGACAGUAUGGUUUCUAUCUUCUAGAGGAAAUUGGAGUAAAAUAAGGAUAGCCCCUUCGUACGAAAGGAGUUGGGUAUGGUAACCUAUGGUUUACCUGUUGUUUAUGCGCUUAAUAUUAACCUGAUAAAUAACGGCAAGAAUAGGUUCUCCUUAAUAAGUAGAAAAUGGGUAUCUAAAGAAGAAGGAGAGUAAUAUAGAUAGAUUCAUGUGAAUUUAUUACCUAUUUGAGCUAUAGAUGGUAAUACUUUUAUACUCAAGUAUUUAUACAUAGUAUAGGCAUGGCAGGAAAGCUAUGUUAGUUAAGAUAAGUGCUGAAUGCAUCUAGGCACGAAGCUUACCUUAGGAUACUCUUAGAAACGUAGUAUAACAUUACGAAUCCAAAUUUUUCAUAGGGUUAGUGCUAGAAAAGUAGCUGCUACAGUUAACUCUAGUUCUAACAAUAUGGUUAUGGGAUUAUAGGCUUUGGCUGAAAGGGCUUUGAUGUUCUUAGGUAUAAAGUACUAAUUUAUUAUCAUUAACUAA